GGCUACAUCACGUUGAAACACUUGUUCCCGUACGAUCGCCGAAGUUAAGCAACGUCGAACCUGGUCAGUACCUAGGUGGAUGAUCGCUUCGGAAAACCAGGUGCUGUAAG
Acanthosepion pharaonis is the source of this 110-nucleotide non-coding RNA. The record is from the annotation of a GenBank genome assembly. Lineage: Eukaryota; Metazoa; Mollusca; Cephalopoda; Sepiida; Sepiidae.